RNAcentral lists this ribosomal RNA (370 nucleotides) under uncultured bacterium. RNAcentral's name for it is "partial 16S ribosomal RNA". It matches the Rfam family "Bacterial small subunit ribosomal RNA", at positions 338 to 706 of the family's 1533-position model. The record is from RNAcentral.
CCUACGGGCGGCAGCAGUGGGGAAUAUUGGGCAAUGGGCGCAAGCCUGACCCAGCAACGCCGCGUGAGGGAGGAAGGCGCAGAGCGUCGCAGACCUCUUUUGCCGGGGGACAAAAGGCCGGACUCGUCCGGUCCUGAGGGUACCCGGAGAAAAAGCAUCGGCUAACUCCGUGCCAGCAGCCGCGGUAAUACGGAGGAUGCGAGCGUUAUCCGGAUUCAUUGGGUUUAAAGGGUGCGCAGGCGGGCCUUUAAGCCGGCGGUGAAAUCGCGGGGCUCAACCCCUCCGAGCCGGCGGAACGGGGGGCCUUGAGUGCGGCGGAGGCAUGCGGAAUGCGCGGGGUAGAGGUGAAAUGCAGAGAUAGCGGGCAGAA